RNAcentral lists this long non-coding RNA (288 nucleotides) under Cyanistes caeruleus (blue tit). RNAcentral's name for it is "lncRNA (ENSCCEG00000015786.1)". The record is from RNAcentral. Lineage: Eukaryota; Metazoa; Chordata; Aves; Passeriformes; Paridae.
UUUCAAAAUUUCUUUUAUAAAGCCCAUGUUUUUGUACUGGAGAUGUAGAGAAUCAUCAGGAAGGCCUCGAGAUUCAAUCUGAAGAUUCCACAUCAAGGAGAAAUGGCCAUACUCCUAUUUUUAGGUGUACAAGCCAGUGUUUCGUCAGAGAUGGUGAUAGUCACAAGGACAGAAAAGCCCAGGAUGGAUGACACACAAGACUCACACUUUCCCAGAGAACCUUCUGCUGGCCUCCUCCCAAGUCAUGGUGAGUUCCAUGGUGAAACUGGAGUAUGUCCUUCACUUUGU